RNAcentral lists this ribosomal RNA (547 nucleotides) under uncultured bacterium. Its description in RNAcentral is "bacterial SSU rRNA". It matches the Rfam family "Bacterial small subunit ribosomal RNA", at positions 962 to 1509 of the family's 1533-position model. The record is from RNAcentral.
CGAAGAACCUUACCUACCCUUGACAUCCAGAGGAUUUUCCAGAGAUGGAUUAGUGCCUUCGGGAACUCUGAGACAGGUGCUGCAUGGCUGUCGUCAGCUCGUGUUGUGAAAUGUUGGGUUAAGUCCCGUAACGAGCGCAACCCCUAUCCUUAUUUGCCAGCGAUUCGGUCGGGAACUCUAAGGAGACUGCCGGUGACAAACCGGAGGAAGGUGGGGAUGACGUCAAGUCAUCAUGGUCCUUACGGGUAGGGCUACACACGUGCUACAAUGGGGAGUACAGAGGGAUGCGAAGCGGCGACGUGAAGCCAAUCCCAAAAAGCUCUCCUCAGUCCGGAUUGGAGUCUGCAACUCGACUCCAUGAAGUCGGAAUCGCUAGUAAUCGCGAAUCAGAAUGUCGCGGUGAAUACGUUCCCGGGCCUUGUACACACCGCCCGUCACACCAUGGGAGUGGAUUGCACCAGAAGUGGCUAGUUUAACCUUCGGGGGAACGGUUACCACGGUGUGGUUCAUGACUGGGGUGAAGUCGUAACAAGGUAAGCGUAGCGAG